Molecule: long non-coding RNA, 3025 nt
Organism: Carassius auratus (goldfish)
Lineage: Eukaryota; Metazoa; Chordata; Actinopteri; Cypriniformes; Cyprinidae
Source: Ensembl
AUAUAUAUAUAUAUAUAUAUAUGUAUAUAUAUAUAUAUAUAUAUAUAUAUAUAUAUAUAUAUAUAUAUAUUAGAAAUAAAAUAGUAUCUUCUUCAGUGUGUAAAUAAAUCAUUGUAUAAAUAUUAAAUAGUACCAUUAAGUUCUGUCAAAAUACAACAUUAUAUUAUUAUUAUUAUUAUUUAACAAAAAUAUAUCACAUUGAUUUAAUAAAAAAAUAAAAAUAAAAUCGGACAUGCCCUAAGUGCACUUGUGCUGUGUGCGCUCUAGACCAUGCAUUAAGAUAAUUAAAAUAUAUAUAGCUUAUCCAAAAACUUCCUAUGGUAUGCCCAUCUCACUUGCAUUAAAGACAUGAAAAGUAUUUUUCUGUAUAAAAGUGCCAUUGAGUAGUUAAAGUUGGUAAUCAAACAAGUUGAUGAUCAGUGCAGAUAUGUGUGGAAAUGAUUGGCCAGAAAGAUGCUCCGCCCCACUUCUGUUUUCUUUAAAAAGACCUAUAGUCCCAAUGACUGCAUUUCAUCAUACCAGCACCUGUGCUAAACUUGCAAAAUGGUAAGUUUCACUGAUUAAUAUAGAACUUACAUGUAAAAAUUUACUGUUGUGUACUGUGUUUUUAACUUUCUUUUUUUCUUUAAUAAGUUAAAAUUUUUACAGGCAUUUUUGGCUCUGGUUUUGGUAUUUUGUGCCUGUGUCUCUUUAAGUGAUUCCGCCUGCUCCUUGACACUUCUAGAUCAAGGUGCAGAAUAUUGUGUCGAUGGCUAUGAUAACUCCAAGCAUCCAAUCGGAAGUACUUGGACAAACAAAAGAUGCAUCGGAUGUACCUGCUCCCCUGGGGAAAUGAAGUGCUGUGACGUGGUGGGCCGAGCGAUUAACCUCUCUCAAGGCUGCAUUGCGAUUUAUGAUUACAACGAUAAAUGCACAUUUGAAGUAUUAAAUCCAAACAACCCCAACAUGAUAUGUUCUUAUGAUGUUGUUGGAAAGGAAUUAAAAUGAUCAAGUAAUGUGUCCAUUUUACAUUCAAAUAUCAGCUGUUUUUGGAUCCAACUUGGACUUCACUGUAAAGAACACAUUGUACCAAUUUUCCUCAAUAAAAGUGCAUCAGCUUUUUGAGUAUUUUGAACUGAUUUUAUUUUUGUUUGGUCUAUCAGACUUUACAUUUCGCACUCUUAAUUAAUGGCAACAUUUUUUUUUUUUUUUUCAAUUUACAAACUAUUGUUUUAAAAUGAUCAAACAUAAACCUUGUUCUUUUUAAAGUUAUAUUUAUAAUUAUUUUUAUUAUAUCCUUCAUAUUUUUACAUUUUCUUGAAAUGUUUUAAUUUAAAUUUAAUGAAACAGUAAAGAGGCGUCUCAAAACAAAACAUUUAUUCACUUUACAAUGUUACAACAGCUCAACAAUGCAAAAUACAGAGUAUCAUUAAUGCCAUUUUAACACCAAUUCUCACUUUUUUAAAACUAUUUAAACUAUUUUAGUUGCUAAUUUAAACUUAUGUUACUGAGGGAAAACUCUUAGCCAUUGCUGAAUGUGUUCCCUAAUUCUAAAGUGUUACCACACAUCCUUUUCAGAUUAAUUUAUUCACCUUUACAUAAAGAUGUUUAAUGUCUUCAUGUAAAAAAGAAAAAGAAAAGUGGGCCCUACAUGGUUUAUGCUGGGUCUACAUGGGUACCAAGUGGGCACGGUCCCAAAAUGGGCAUCUUAUCUGGGGCCCUAGUUGGGUCAUAAAUUGGAAAUAAGUGCAUGGGUUCUAAAUGGAUAACACAAAUGGGACCCAUGUCAAUUUAAUAAAAGGGUUAGGCAUGGACAAAUACAAUUAAUCCCAUAUAGACUGCCUACACUGGCCAAAAGGUAGUACCAAUGGUGAGCUUGAUUGCAAGUACAUCAUGUUCCUGGAUCAGCAUCCUUGUUGAUUCUGGAACAACAUUUCAAUCAACCUAUCAGAAUUGAGAUAAAACUUUUUGGGAAAUAUAUGUUUUAGGCUUGCAAUCAAGGUUAGGUGCUUCUACUCCAUUGUUAAUCAGCUAUCAUUUGCACUGAUUUUAGGAAUAAAUUAUGGGAAGGGUUAGGUUUAGGGGUAGUGAUUGGGUUAAGUCAAUAUUUUUGGACAACAGUGUGGAUCCAGGAUCAUCAACAUAUGUUGACCCAGAAACAUGUCUUGGCAAAAUCACAGCAGCCUAAUACCCAACCUCUAUAUGGGUUUUUCCGAAUGGGGAAACACAAAUGUGGCCCUCUUUGCCAAACCAUAUGGGUAAAACAUUGUUUUGCUGUUUUACUGUUUGUAUCACUAAUUCUUACGUUUCCUAUGUAAUGUUAAUCUGUUUAUUCUGUUAUUCUAUUUCUAUGUAAAGCGACCUUGGGUCUGAGAAAGGCGCUAUAUAAAAUAAACUUAUUAUUAUUAUUAUUAUUAUUAUUAUUAUUAUUAUUAUUUAGCAUUGGCAAACACAAUCAAUCCUAUAAAAGCUGACUACAUUUGCUCAAGGUAGUACCCACAUAGGUAAUAUUUGUAUGGGUUCUGAAUAGGCCCUUUUGGCCAAAAUAUGUGUCAGACAUGGGCAAACACAAACAUUGCCUUAAAGUCUGGCUACAUGGACUCAAGAUAAUACCUACCUGGGUAAUCUGUGUAUGGGUUAUAAAUGGGUAAAUACAAAUGUGGUAGUGAUAAGUGUCACGCUGUCAGUCUCUGUUUUCCUGGGUGUUCCCUAGUGAGCUCACUUCUCCUUAGGCACUUCACCAUAGGCACUUUUAUUCCUCUAGUCUGGUCCUGUCUUCACAGUUAUUGCACUCCAAUUAAAUCACACAGGUGCUGAAGCUGAGGCAGUGCCCGAUGCUGUUUCGGAGGCAGAGGCGGUGCCGGAGGCCGUUCCCGAGGAGAUGACCGAGACGUGAGACAGCUCUGCUUCGGGCACCGCCUUAGGAACGGCCUCAGGCACCGCCCGAAGCAGUGCCGUCUCACGUCUCCACAGGCAGUCCAAAGUCAAGUCUCAAGUCAGGUGCCCAUUGACUGUCCAGAGUUGAGUCAGUUCCCGGUUGACCCUC